RNAcentral lists this transfer RNA (101 nucleotides) under Laccaria amethystina LaAM-08-1. It matches the Rfam family "tRNA". From Rfam's summary of the family: Transfer RNA (tRNA) molecules are approximately 80 nucleotides in length. Their secondary structure includes four short double-helical elements and three loops (D, anti-codon, and T loops). Further hydrogen bonds mediate the characteristic L-shaped molecular structure. tRNAs have two regions of fundamental functional importance: the anti-codon, which is responsible for specific mRNA codon recognition, and the 3' end, to which the tRNAs corresponding amino acid is attached (by aminoacyl-tRNA synthetases). tRNAs cope with the degeneracy of the genetic code in two manners: having more than one tRNA (with a specific anti-codon) for a particular amino acid; and 'wobble' base-pairing, i.e. permitting non-standard base-pairing at the 3rd anti-codon position. Lineage: Eukaryota; Fungi; Basidiomycota; Agaricomycetes; Agaricales; Hydnangiaceae. The record is from Rfam by way of RNAcentral.
GGCGCUGUAGUGUAGCGGUUAUCACUCAAGAUUCUGAUGAACAUAAUGAAUUCGUAAACCUGUUUAUUCUUGAAACCCAGGUUCGAUUCCUGGCAGUGCCU